RNAcentral lists this long non-coding RNA (335 nucleotides) under Pan troglodytes (chimpanzee). RNAcentral's name for it is "long non-coding RNA NONPTRT011477". The record is from RNAcentral. Lineage: Eukaryota; Metazoa; Chordata; Mammalia; Primates; Hominidae.
UAUUUUAUUAAUUCUGUUUCUUUAAUGAUACCUCUUACUCAAUAAAUAAAACUUUUAUUUUCAGUAAACUUGUUUUCAUUGUUUCUUGACAGCCGUUGCCAGCUAAGGGGAAAGGCACAAUAAGAAUUAUUUCAACAAAAUAUUUGUAUCAGAGUGUAAUAGUGCAUCUGGUCAACUUAAUUUUAUGGUGAUGAUUAAUCAAUGUUCAACAAUGACUGAUAGUAUACACAUAUAUUAAUGGGUAAUCAACUUGACCUUAAGCAAUUAUUUUACUUGGAUUCCUCAGCAAAAUUUGCCUAAAACUUAGCUAAAUUUUGUGAUCUGUUAAAGAAGAU